Molecule: long non-coding RNA, 401 nt
Organism: Contarinia nasturtii (swede midge)
Lineage: Eukaryota; Metazoa; Arthropoda; Insecta; Diptera; Cecidomyiidae
Exons: 3
Source: RefSeq, a predicted model, not a curated record
UCGAAUUGUGAUUUUAACAAGUGUAAAAUCAUUUGCAAUGAAGGCUAUUCAUUCGCAGAUAAAUCAACGAUUAUGGAAAUGACAUGUGAACACGGCAUAUGGAAAUAUUCGCAAUCAAACAACAAUUCAUCUGGCAUUUGCUCAUCCGUUUGUGAUCCUUUUUGUCAGAAUGGUGGAAUUUGUACGCAACGAAAUGUGUGUUCGUGUUUGAAGGAAUUCGAAGGAGAUCACUGCGAAAAUGCAACCAAGAGUUCUGUUUUAUAUGAGCAAUGUGUAAAUCUGUGCAAUCGAGGUUGUCCAUAUUUGAAAUUAUUUACAAGAAGCUGCACUAACUAUUGUGUUGAUAAAUGUGAUUAUCUAAAAAUCAAAGUAAUACCAUCUGAAGAGACUAUCUCUAUUUC